RNAcentral lists this ribosomal RNA (1253 nucleotides) under uncultured Halomonas sp. RNAcentral's name for it is "bacterial SSU rRNA". It matches the Rfam family "Bacterial small subunit ribosomal RNA", at positions 253 to 1496 of the family's 1533-position model. The record is from RNAcentral. Lineage: Bacteria; Pseudomonadati; Pseudomonadota; Gammaproteobacteria; Oceanospirillales; Halomonadaceae.
UGAGGUAACGGCUCACCAAGGCCAUGAUCCGUAGCUGGUCUGAGAGGAUGAUCAGCCACAUCGGGACUGAGACACGGCCCGAACUCCUACGGGAGGCAGCAGUGGGGAAUAUUGGACAAUGGGGGAAACCCUGAUCCAGCCAUGCCGCGUGUGUGAAGAAGGCCCUCGGGUUGUAAAGCACUUUCAGCGAGGAAGAACGCCUAGCGGUUAAUACCCGCUAGGAAAGACAUCACUCGCAGAAGAAGCACCGGCUAACUCCGUGCCAGCAGCCGCGGUAAUACGGAGGGUGCAAGCGUUAAUCGGAAUUACUGGGCGUAAAGCGCGCGUAGGUGGCUUGAUAAGCCGGUUGUGAAAGCCCCGGGCUCAACCUGGGAACGGCAUCCGGAACUGUCAAGCUAGAGUGCAGGAGAGGAAGGUAGAAUUCCCGGUGUAGCGGUGAAAUGCGUAGAGAUCGGGAGGAAUANCNNCANGUGGCGAAGGCGGCCUUCUGGACUGACACUGACACUGAGGUGCGAAAGCGUGGGUAGCAAACAGGAUUAGAUACCCUGGUAGUCCACGCCGUAAACGAUGUCGACCAGCCGUUGGGUGCCUAGCGCACUUUGUGGCGAAGUUAACGCGAUAAGUCGACCGCCUNGGGAGNACNGCCGCNCUGUUAAAACUCAAAUGAAUUGACGGGGGCCCGCACAAGCGGUGGAGCAUGUGGUUUAAUUCGAUGCAACGCGAAGAACCUUACCUACUCUUGACAUCCUGCGAAUUCGGUAGAGAUACCUUAGUGCCUUCGGGAACGCAGAGACAGGUGCUGCAUGGCUGUCGUCAGCUCGUGUUGUGAAAUGUUGGGUUAAGUCCCGUAACGAGCGCAACCCUUGUCCUUAUUUGCCAGCGCGUAAUGGCGGGAACUCUAAGGAGACUGCCGGUGACAAACCGGAGGAAGGUGGGGACGACGUCAAGUCAUCAUGGCCCUUACGAGUAGGGCUACACACGUGCUACAAUGGUCGGUACAAAGGGUUGCCAACUCGCGAGAGUGAGCCAAUCCCGAAAAGCCGAUCUCAGUCCGGAUCGGAGUCUGCAACUCGACUCCGUGAAGUCGGAAUCGCUAGUAAUCGUGGAUCAGAAUGCCACGGUGAAUACGUUCCCGGGCCUUGUACACACCGCCCGUCACACCAUGGGAGUGGACUGCACCAGAAGUGGUUAGCCUAACGCAAGAGGGCGAUCACCACGGUGUGGUUCAUGACUGGGGUGAAGUCGUAACAAGG